GCUGUGAUGGCUGAGGGGUUAAGGCAUUGGACUUGAAAUCCAAUGUGGUUUCCCGGUGCAGGUUUAAAUUCUGCUCACAGUG
This is a non-coding RNA of Tachyglossus aculeatus (Australian echidna), 82 nucleotides long. Lineage: Eukaryota; Metazoa; Chordata; Mammalia; Monotremata; Tachyglossidae. The record is from the annotation of a RefSeq genome assembly.